RNAcentral lists this small RNA (362 nucleotides) under Histoplasma ohiense. RNAcentral describes it as "hypothetical lncRNA". The record is from RNAcentral. Lineage: Eukaryota; Fungi; Ascomycota; Eurotiomycetes; Onygenales; Ajellomycetaceae.
CAUAUAUUCAUGAUAAAGGAAGAAAGAAUAGUGAAAAUAGACUUAUUUUAACUGCUUUGGCAGUCAAGAGUCAAGAAUUAACUCAGAGGAAACCGGCUUUCUAUAUAUCUAGACAAUAUUUGCAUUUUCUAUAUUGAUAUUUAGAAUUAUAGAUCUGUAGUAGUCUGUAUGAUGUGGAUUAAUUAGUAUUGAUUCAUUGUCUCUACUAUCAGUGAAUGCCGUAGAGUUCAACAUGACAUGGUCAGGCUAACGAGGAUCGUGAACGAGAAAGUGGUGAAGGACGUUAGAGCAUUAUUUUUCGGGAUUGAGCUAAUUACGCACCCGGCAUGCUCAUCUAGUUAUGGGAGCGCUUGAAGUAUAGC